AUGGGAAACUUCAGCUCGUGGUGCGGAGGGGAGACGUCGUCGAGAUGCGUUACCAAGACCGCGACGGGCGCGCACAAAUUCGAGGUGACAAACUACUCGCUGCUCGACGGCAUGGGCGCCGGCAACUGUGUAAGCUCCAACACGUUCAGCGUCGGCGGCUACGACUGGUGCAUCAAUUUCUUCCCUGACGCGUACAGUGGCUGCGCGUUCGCCUGCCUAUGUCUCCAAGGAACGGCCAAGGAGCCGGGCGUGAUGGUGAAGUCCACGCUGAGCUUUCUGGGGAGCGACGGCAAGCCGUAUAAAGGCACGGAACCGGUGACCGCCACACGAACUCUUCCCUUCUCACAUGUAGGUAUCGAGAUUUUCAGUGGUUGGGAAGAUCGGGUGAUUGUUGAGAAGUCUAAGCUGCAGGCUGACGGCUGCUGCACCAUCAGGUGUGAUCUGACCGUCAUGAGAAACACCGUCGCAUAG
Molecule: ribosomal RNA, 471 nt
Filed under: Triticum aestivum (bread wheat)
Lineage: Eukaryota; Viridiplantae; Streptophyta; Magnoliopsida; Poales; Poaceae
Description: partial small subunit ribosomal RNA
Source: RNAcentral